Long non-coding RNA from Asterias rubens (European starfish), 462 nucleotides. RefSeq lists it as uncharacterized. The transcript has 3 exons. Lineage: Eukaryota; Metazoa; Echinodermata; Asteroidea; Forcipulatida; Asteriidae. The record is from RefSeq and is a predicted model, not a curated record.
UCGACCUGAACUGUGCUUUAUUGCCCAACAAAAAUGAAGUUUUUACGGAUUUCAGAAGGAUUACGGAAGACACAACUACCACAAAAGCGUGAUGGUUAUAGCUACAGAUGUCAUCGGACAGAUAAAGUCUACGCCCCAAAGUAGAUGCUUGAUGAUGCACAUGAAGUCCUGCAUAAAGAUUCAAAGAUGUCUUCUCAGUCAAAAGAUCAAGUAAUUCAGACUUAGAGUGUCAGAUCUUUGUUCAGUGGCUGACCAUCAAACAGUCAGUGGAGGUGUAAGCUUGAUCUGUGAAGGAUGAAGCAUUUGGACAACUUUACCAACUUCAAAGGGUAAAACACCAAAGUUAAUAUUCUUUAUCCCUGAUGCAAAUGUAAACAUCUAUUUUAUCGUUGUUGUACCUGCUGCCAAACAUAGGAUUCGAACUACAUUACAUCUUGAUACAGAGCAAUCUCGGUAGUCUAA